UCUAGGAUAAUAUAGUACGGGUUUCUCUUAUAACAGUUCGAUGGGAAAAAUCAUUGAAAGUGGUUGUCUUAACUAACUGAUUCAUAGUUUUGACCCCAAUAUUUUCUUUGGGAUUAACUAAAGUACGGAGUAUAAGCAACAGUCAAGUGAAAGCAACGUCCUUUAUACUCUGCCCAAUACUUUUUAUCAAAGAAAUUAAAACUUGAUAAACUCCACUUAAAUUUUGAAAACCUAACCUCCUUUUUUAAUAUCCUCCUUCAAUUCGUUCACUCAGAGAUUCAUUCUCGUAUCUACUUUUCAGCCUCUGGAGAACAAGAUGAUGCUCAUGCCCCAUUCUGAUCAUGUCGUCAUCGAACGUACAUUCCCAGCCCAUGGAAUGAUUCGUGCUUUUAAAAUUAUGUUUUAUCUGUAAAUUGUAAGGUUAUACGAGAAGAAUUACUGGCGCCGAACAAAUCUGUAUAGGCGAAACCGUGAAAUUGAGCAGUGGAUUUUGAUGCGGAGUAGUUGUUAAAGUUUGAGGAUGGCGACGGUCGAAUUAUGAACUGAUUGAAAUAUGCAAAUCGCUGUUAUUACUUUAUGAUAUUAGGUGUUCGUUUUUUAGUUUGUAUGGUUGUUCGCAUAUCCCUUUUUUCCUAUUGUUAUUAUGGAGUAUAUGCUUGUACGUGGAUGCUUGUUUAAUACUCCCUCUGUAUUUAUUUAAGUGAUACACUUGUUUUUUCCGGCCG
This is a long non-coding RNA of Spinacia oleracea (spinach), 725 nucleotides long. RefSeq lists it as uncharacterized. The record is from RefSeq and is a predicted model, not a curated record. NCBI's taxonomy places the organism in Eukaryota, Viridiplantae, Streptophyta, Magnoliopsida, Caryophyllales, Amaranthaceae. The transcript is spliced from 2 exons.